This 1276-nucleotide ribosomal RNA is filed under the name Anthracocystis themedae-arguentis. RNAcentral describes it as "LSU rRNA". It matches the Rfam family "Eukaryotic large subunit ribosomal RNA", at positions 74 to 1398 of the family's 3401-position model. The record is from RNAcentral. Lineage: Eukaryota; Fungi; Basidiomycota; Ustilaginomycetes; Ustilaginales; Ustilaginaceae.
AUUCCCCUAGUAACGGCGAGUGAAGAGGGAAGAGCCCAAGAUUGAAAGCUGGCGUCUUCGGCGUCCGCAUUGUAAUCUCAAGAAGUGUUUUCCGCUUCGGACCAUGCCUAAGUCCCUUGGAAAAGGGCAUCAUAGAGGGUGAUAAUCCCGUACAUGGCAUGGAGCGCCCGAGGCUUUGUGAUACGCUUUCUAAGAGUCGAGUUGUUUGGGAAUGCAGCUCAAAAUGGGUGGUAAAUGCCAUCUAAGGCUAAAUAUUGGGGAGAGACCGAUAGCGAACAAGUACAGUGAUGGAAAGAUGAAAAGAACUUUGAAAAGAGAGUUAAACAGUACGUGAAAUUGCCAAAAGGGAAGGGUAGGAGGUCAGAGAUGCGUCUUGGGAUUCAGCCUUGCUUCUGCUGGGUGUUUUUCCCAAGUUGCAGGCCAACGUCGGUUUUGGGCACUGGAGAAGGGUGGAAGGAACGUGGCACCUCUCGGGGUGUGUUAUAGCCUUCUACUGGAUACAGCGACCGAGACCGAGGACAGCAGCGUACUCGCAAGAGCGGGCCUUCGGGCACCUUUACGCUUAGGGCGUUGGCAUAAUGGCCCUCUACCACCCGUCUUGAAACACGGACCAAGGAGUCUAACAUGUAUGCGAGUCUUUGGGUGGCAAACCCAUAGGCGCAAUGAAAGUGAAUUCAGGUGGGAUCCGCAAGGUGCACCAUCGACCGAUCCUCACGUCUUUUAAGUCGUGGAUUUGAGUAAGAGCAUACCUGUUGGGACCCGAAAGAUGGUGAACUAUGCCUGAAUAGGGUGAAGCCAGAGGAAACUCUGGUGGAGGCUCGUAGCGGUUCUGACGUGCAAAUCGAUCGUCAAAUUUGGGUAUAGGGGCGAAAGACUAAUCGAACCAUUACAGUAUAUUAUAUUGCUAGGUGGUUAAGAGGUGGCUAAAAGGGCACACCUAGUGGGCGCUGAAGCUCGCGACACUGUCAAAAUGCGGGGACACCCUAAAGCUUUCAAUACCAAGCCGGCGUGGAAACACAGUCGGUGGCCGAGUUAACAACCCUGGGUAUGGUAAAAACUUGAAAGAUAGUACAAUGGGCAAUCCGCAGCCAAGCUCUAAGGGCCGUCAAGCCUAUGAGUGCAGUUCACAGACUAGAUGGCAGUGGGUUUCGUCUUUUUCGAAGACGGGGCUUAAGAUAUAGUCGGUCCUCUCUCGAAAGGGAGCCGGGGGAUGAAAGAUCGAGGUUCUUCAGCAACAGACCUCUUUCCAGAGCCUCUGGGAGUCAAUUCCGAUGAC